AGGCGCCCUGCGGGGGACAAACAGUGCCGUCAGGACGAGGACUCGAGCACAAAGCAGCAACAGGUAAAAGACAUUUACAAGCCAAGAUGCCUUCUUCCAAAAAUUAGAGUGAAAUACAACAACUAUCAUCUUGCAGUCUCAUCCAUUACAUUAGUCACUCGUUCUUACCUUCUGGGGAGAAGAUGGUUGUUCGGGAAUCAUAUCGACGAGACUGUAUGGAGACAGAAGCGAGGAGGAAAACUAAUCAGUAGUUUAUUUACCCUUGAAUUACAGACUCAAGCUCUUUGGGUGAUUAAGAAUUCAGUAAGUCAGUUUCCUCCUACAGAUGCCUUAAAAAAUUCUAUUAGAAAAUUUAUCCUUAACCUUUAAAAAGAAACAACCUCUCUGAAUGUUGGUUUUUUUUCCUUUUCUUGUUCACUAGGUGUUGUUUAGAUCUGCUUUGUGUGACAUAAUGGCUCCCUGGAAACAGAUGUGUCGUUGUUUAAUGGCACAGUAGCUGCGAAGUGCAAGAGAAUAUUGCCCGACAGAUCAGGUCUGAUAUCUGUCAAAGCGGGUUGUAGAAUUUAUACACCUGCAAUCCGGAGCCAAUAUAUACCAUUGUUUAAUUUGUCGCCAUCUUUUGUGGAUUGUAUUGCUAAGGGUUCCCUCUGAUUUUAGUGAGUAUACACUCACCUGUACCCUGAUAUAGAAAUAAUAACUGAAGUAGUGUUUGUUAUCAUCCACAAAGCUCAGGUCAAAUCACAAGAACCGUGAGGGCGUUCUGAAGACACAACGCCGAGAACACGAGCGUCCCAGGCGGCUUCAGUAUAAUCUGUACGUCUUGCACAGAAGCUUUGACGUUUAAUCUCGUACGGAACCAGAGAAAGAACGAAGCACAUAAUCAAUAUGCAAAAACCGAUUAACGCCUAACGGCUGAGUUGACUCACCAUUCUUGGAGGCUGCAGUCAGACCCCAAGGCUGCGGAAAAAGAAACGCAAAGACAGUCACAUGAACACCUCUUGAACACAGUCUGAGCAAAAGCUAAAACAUCGCAGGCUUCAUGAAGGAUCAUCUGUUGCAGCACCGUCACUGUGAACUAGAUGCAUCUGAUGACCCGAGUCACGUGGUCGCUUUGACUUCAAUAUCUCCGGCAGGAGACCCAAAACCUGCAGAUCUGCUUCGUCACCGGCGGCUGGUGGCGUCGGUGGAAGAGACAGGACCGAGACUCGGUCAGGUGCUGUGUCUGUGUGUGUGUGUGUCCAUCGGGUAACUACAGACUGAGCUUUGUGUUUUUGUCCCUUUACAAUUUCCAUCGUCAGUAUUAUCAUGAUCAUCAUUAUCAUACAUUUCGAUCGCUUAUUGACGAAACUCAACCCGAAUGGCGCCUGAAGCGUCCGCACAUUUAGCUGGCGCACAGUAAUUGUUCGCAUAUUUGUGAGAUACAAACCAAUAUAAGAAGACGUACGCCUUAAAAAUGAGACAGUUAUAUGAAGUUGGCUUGUCAAAAUUGAACGGCUUACCGAUUGAAGAGGUUUCUGUAGGGCGCCCUGUAAUGACGUCAGCAGCAGGAGGUGGUGACGACAUAGAGGCGCGCCUCUAAAAUCGUUUUUUUUUUAUUCUACGCAUCCAUGGAAUUUGACUCCGGUUUGUGCUUUCAGUGUUCAGCAUCAAAGACACGGACAACGAAACUGAGCAACAAUAAGCUAACGUAGAUUCUUAGGUUGAAAAAAACCUACUUUCAUAUUUUAGGUUAAUCAAAAACUCAGCCCCUUUUCUUGGUGGGUGAACAGGCCCUGUGUUUAUGUAAUGAGCCACUUUGACCGCCAGGGGGAGCCCUUGCUUUGGAAGUGUGGAAACCACGAGGCGGUGGAGGCGGUGGUAUUUCUACUGAGGAAGGUUAAUUGCACUCUGCCUGGGAAUGAGUUGUAAGACAUUGACCAGUGGAGAUUCAGCUUCAGCGUAAACGUCCUCCGAGCAUCUGACCCAGGUUGAUUUGUGGUCAGUGCAGUAAAUCAGCCCUGUGACCUCUGACCUCCCUGGUAAGUGGGUGGCAGUAUGUGUGUGUGUGUGUGUGUGUGGUUUGCUUCUCAGUCAGACAAUGUGCUCAGUCUUUCCUCUAUUUAUUCAACCAUAAUGUUAUGACACAUCUGCUUCACAAACGUGGAGCAUAAGCAGAGAUUUUUUUUCCUCCUUCACAUUUUUGUUUUACUGAGUUUCGGUUAAAAUCCCAUGUUAGUUAAAGCUUUUCAGUCGGUAAGAGGGAUUUUCCAAAAUGUAUUCAACCUACCCUCGUCAAGUGAGUAAUGACACAUCAUCACUUGGCAGUGAAUUCUGCUUCAUUCUCAUGACACAUUUCUCAAAAUUAUCCUAAAAUUAUUCUGAUAAAUCAGAAAUUUCCAACCUUGUAGUGAUCAGAAAACAAAUUAAACUUUAAAAUACUUCCUAAAUACUACUAAAUGGACGUUGAUGUGAGAUUGAUCUGUCAAAGGUCAAUUGCUCGUGAUUAAUUCUCCAAAAUGGAGGAUGUAUUUCAAAUCCCAUGAUGAGGUUCAGGCGACGAUUUGUACAUGGGUCCACUGAUAAAACAGCUCUGUGGUACAGUGGAAGAGAACUCUUUGUUUCUUGUUUGAGCUUUUCCUCUCAGUACAACGCAGCCCGGGGCUGCCAAAGCCCGGCAGCUUACCUUGAGAUUAUCAACAAUAAUCACAUCCUCACAUUGUUCUCUGAGGAUUGGCGCAGGAAAGUGGAGAGCUGCAGCUGCAUCACCUCAACAACAACAAGCCGUGACACCGCACUGUUUUACUGUUUACUCAGAGACGAGUCUUGCUGGCCCCGGUCUCUGCUGUGGAGCUGGCCUCCCCGCAGCUCCUCCUGGACAAGGUUUAUAUCUCAUUCGGCCUAUUUAUAUUUUUGUGGCCCCCAGCACAGAUUUUUACAUUGUCCUCACUCCAGACUGUAAUUUUAAACAGUUGAGCAGGACCCAAAACAUAUAUCCUCAGGGGAUGCCCUGUAGGAGGAUAGGGUUUCCAAAAUUGCCCCAUAACAACACGGUUUCAUGGGAAAUAGAUCGACUGACACCGCUCUGAUUCAGAUUCAGCUUUAUCUGGCACUGAGCACUCAAUAACAACCCUGAGACGAACACUUGCGCUGCUUAUGCGGACUCCUCCUGUGCUUUUGACCCAAUAACUCACUGUCGAUUGAUUCAUACGCUGGUUGACGUGUCUGUGUGAUGCCCCCUGUAGCUUAUUGGGAGGAGUUACCUGAGUGACUGAGAGCAAAAGGGGGGAAGUGGGAUUCCUGUGCGUCCCCCACGGGGAUGGACAAUGAAUGAAGGCGAGAGGGUAACAUCCCCUGGACCCCAUCUCCAACAAUUUAUGGACAACACGUCAGCAGAUUCGGAGUUCGGAUGUCACGUGGGAUCUCCACGUCGAGUAUAUGCUCAAAGACUACUCCUCCAUCCCUGGGUGAAAGUUGGGAUGAGGCCGCCUGGUGAACCUACACUUACAUAAAAACAGUCCCCCCCCCAGGCACCCCCUGCUUGAAUCCUGCCUGCAACCCCAACAUUUGCUUCUAAGCUUUGACAGCAUUGGGAAUACACAGAUCUCUCAGGCAGAGCCAAAAGACAUGAACAUUCUUUAUUGCUCAUGCUCUUAAAUUUGUCUUUAAAUGUCCUAUCUAUUUCAAGGUUGCUUAAGGUUCUCAGUGUGGGGAAUAUGUAUAUGUAGUGCUCACAAGCAGAACUAAAAUACAUCAUUUCUUUUUG
This is a long non-coding RNA of Scophthalmus maximus (turbot), 3742 nucleotides long. RefSeq lists it as uncharacterized. NCBI's taxonomy places the organism in Eukaryota, Metazoa, Chordata, Actinopteri, Pleuronectiformes, Scophthalmidae. The record is from RefSeq and is a predicted model, not a curated record. The transcript is spliced from 2 exons.